RNAcentral lists this ribosomal RNA (944 nucleotides) under Spirobranchus sp. n. C IB-2022. RNAcentral's name for it is "SSU rRNA". It matches the Rfam family "Eukaryotic small subunit ribosomal RNA", at positions 30 to 918 of the family's 1831-position model. Lineage: Eukaryota; Metazoa; Annelida; Polychaeta; Sabellida; Serpulidae. The record is from RNAcentral.
GCUGUCUCAAAGAUUAAGCCAUGCACGUGUAAGUACACGCUUUAGUAUAGUGAAACUGCGAAUGGCUCAUUAAAUCAUAUGUGAUUUCUUAGAUCGUUGCGUCCUCUCGGGGAUGUCUGGAUAACUGUGGCAAUUCUAGAGCUAAUACAUGCAAUCAAGCUCCAACCUUCGUGGGACGAGCGCUCUUAUUAGACCAAGGCCAACCUGCUGGGCAACUGGCAGUUAGCUGUGGUGACUCUGGAUAAACACAGUUGAUCGCACGACUUUACGUCGGCGACGUAUCUUUCAAGCGUAUGCCCUAUCAGCUGUCGACGGUAGGGUAGCGGCCUACCGUGGCAUCAACGGGUAACGGGGGAUCAGGGUCCGAUCCCGGAGAGUAAGCCUGAGAGACGGCUUACACAUCUAAGGAAGGCAGCAGGCGCGCAAAUUACCCAAUGGGGAAACCCUGAGGUAGUGACAAGAAAUAACAAUACGCGACUCUUUCGAGGCCGCGUAAUUGGAAUGAGCACAGUCUAAAUCCUUUAGCGAGGAUCAAUUGGAGGGCAAGUCUGGUGCCAGCAGCCGCGGUAAUUCCAGCUCCAAUAGCGUAUAUUAAAGUUGCUGCAGUUAAAAAGCUCGUAGUUGACAAUCGGCGCUCGUCUCGGCGGUCCUGUUCACGCAGGCACUGCCUUGACGGCCUCUACACACUGGCUUGAGGUCGUGCAGGCUGGGAGACUGGCAGCACGUACCAGAGCCCCGGGUGCCCUUCAUUGGGUGCCCGUGGGUGGCCUUUGCGUUUACUUUGAAGAAAUUAGAGUGUUCAAAGCGGGCUCUUGAUAGCUCGGAUACUCGUACAUGGAAUAAUGGAAUAGGACCCUGGGUCAUUUCCGUUGGUCUAUGGCCAUUGGGUAAUGAUUAAAAGGGACUGCCGGGGGCAUUGGUAUGGUGGGGGGAGAGGUGAAAUU